GAUGAACGCUAGCUACAGGCUUAACACAUGCAAGUCGAGGGGAAACGACAUCGAAAGCUUGCUCUUGAUGGGCGUCGACCGGCGCACGGGUGAGUAACGCGUAUCCAACCUGCCCAUCACUUGGGAAUAACUUUGCGAAAGUAAGACUAAUACCCAAUGAUAUCCCACGAAGGCAUCGGAAUGGGAUUAAAGAUUUAUCGGUGAUGGAUGGGGAUGCGUCUGAUUAGCUUGUUGGCGGGGUAACGGCUCACCGAGGCAACGAUCAGUAGGGGUUCUGAGAGGGAGGUCCCCUACAGGUGAACUGAGACACGGUGCAAGAGCCUACGGGCAGAAGCAGUGAGGAAGAUGGGGCAGUGAACGAGGGCCUGAGCCAGCCAAGUAGCGGGCAGGAAGCCGGGUGUGGGGGUUGUAAACUGCUUUUGUAAGGGAAUAAAGUGGGUGACGUGGGACUUUUUGCAGGUACCUUAUGAAUAAGGACCGGCUAAUUCCGUG
This 492-nucleotide ribosomal RNA is filed under the name uncultured bacterium. Its description in RNAcentral is "partial 16S ribosomal RNA". It matches the Rfam family "Bacterial small subunit ribosomal RNA", at positions 28 to 507 of the family's 1533-position model. The record is from RNAcentral.